This is a long non-coding RNA of Plutella xylostella (diamondback moth), 577 nucleotides long. RefSeq lists it as uncharacterized. The record is from RefSeq and is a predicted model, not a curated record. Lineage: Eukaryota; Metazoa; Arthropoda; Insecta; Lepidoptera; Plutellidae.
CCUGAGGUCAAAAUUUGUUUAUUUUAAUACUUAGCAACCUACAUAAGACCAGUUGGACCAUAGAACCUGCAUUAAAAUGGUGAACGUCUGAUGAACUAAUGUGAUGACUAAAAACCUGAGAGCAAGAUUGAGUGUUCUGGGAAUCCCUUGAACUAAUGUGAUGAUUAUAAACCUGAGGUCAAAAUUAUGAGUGUUGUUGGGAAUUUUCUUUAAAAAUCAUAAUUAGCUAAGUACUUGUUAUUAACUUCACAAUAAACAUGGACUUAUUAUACAAAAGUUACAUGGGAAGUUAAACAUAUCAUUGAGAAGUGCCCGCUAAAUGGAUGGGAGGUUUAGAACAUGACACAGGCCUAGCCUAGUGUGGUAGCCCUUGUUAUAUCACCACCUUCUAAUUUUUACCAAACACUGCAACCUAUAUUUUUUGUAACUUUCAUAAUCUUUAGUUUAAAUAAAUUUUUUUUUCAUUUUUUCAGAAUUUAUUUUGAUUUUUAAUCAAUCAUUAAAUUUAAAGUUUUUUGUAAAUACUCAUUUGUAGUUUGGUUCGUUUUAAAUGUUGCCAAUAAAUAAUUGUUAAUUA